Molecule: long non-coding RNA, 1877 nt
Organism: Oreochromis niloticus (Nile tilapia)
Lineage: Eukaryota; Metazoa; Chordata; Actinopteri; Cichliformes; Cichlidae
Exons: 4
Source: RefSeq, a predicted model, not a curated record
CUUCUGCAAAAGAAACUUACCUAAAGAAACUUUACCCCAGUAAACAAAGCCUGCCCAUCUCUCCUCUCUUAGCCAUUUCUCAUCCGCUGUCUUAGCAUGCGAGGGGGUGACUAUCACGAGGAAAGCAACGAAGGCUGGCCCUAAUAUGUGACGUAAAACAUCCCACCGGUGGGAUGAAAGCAGUGGACCGGUUCCGCCCCCGUCCUGGUGGUCAGGUCCGCUGGAUAAACAGAUCCACCAACGCUUACAGAAAGUGGCUCCUCUGCCUGUUUGUCGUCCUGCUUGGGGACAUCCAGGCGGUCUAUGAAGCUCUGCAGCUCUUUCCUGAAGGCUUUCAUCUGUGCGUUGAUACGAUACAGCAGCUCGUGCUCUCUGAUCCUGAGGAAGAACAAGUUUGGACUUCAAAAUCAGGUUCCUGGAUUUCCUCCCCUGGUGUGGUGAGCCCGAAUUGAGCGUGAGAGUGAGAAAAUUGUGCAUGGUGGAUGUUUGGACCCCACCUCCCUGGAACAUCGUUUGCUGUUUGCAUAUUUGUGAUUGUUGUAGAUAGCUUCUUCACUGUUAAAAAAAACAACAACAAAAAAAACACGCACUGAUCUGAGAUCUUCCAAGUCUGCACCUGAGUCUACCAGUCUAUUGGCCUUGACAGAAUAAUCCAGCCAAGAAAUGGACUCAGCAGACUAACAUGGUGAGCCGAACCCUCGCCUCCCAGUUGGACUAGCAUGAGCAAAUACUCCGAGGGUCACAAUGUCUGCCAUGGAUCACAAAUCAAACCUGUUCUCUCCGGUCCAUUGUGCCCUCCUUCCAUGCUCCCACCACCAGAUGGGUUUUGAUGAAGAACCUAAAACUAUGCUGAGAACUGGGAUCAUUUGAUUCACAUAUCUAUUGAAAACUCAGGUCUAUUCUCUUCAUAUCAUAAAACUAGGCAGUACAUUAUCUUUAUGAGAAGUUAUUUCCGUAAUAAUUUAAAACGUGGUCAGCGUAGUAAGCACACAAUUUCAUAUCUGAUGCUCAUUUUAAUGUGACCAUUCUCCCCCAUAGUUUUUUAAACCUGGAAAACCACAUUAAGUUUAAAAACACAAACUUGAUUCAAACACAUUUUUCAGGCCUUGCCAGAAUUAGGUUAGACCAGCCUUUGCCUUCAGAACUGCUUUAAUUCUCCAUGGUACAGAUUCAACAGAGAAACAUUCAUCUGAGAUUUUGGCCCAUAGUGACAUGAUAGCAUCACACAAUUGCUGCAGAUCCAUGAUGUCUGUUUCCUGUUUCACCAUUUCCCAGAGGUGCCCUGUUAUAUGGUGACUGUGGAAGCCACCUGGGUACUGGGUACCUGCUGCUGUAGCCCAUCUGCGUCAAGGUUCAGUUCAAGUUUAUUGUCAUAUACAGAUAACAUUGUAGCAACAUUUACCCUUAAUGAAAUUCUUAGACUCGUGUUCCCCAACUUUACAUGAACAUAUAGAAAGUAUACAGGUAUUAUUAAAGAAAAUAAUAAUAAUAAAAUUUAAAAAAUGUUAUAAAAAUACUAAAAGUGUUAAAAAUGUUAAGAAGAAUUUAAAAUGUAAGAAUUUAAGGUUCGAUCUGCUGGGUAAAUGCGCUUCUGUACCUCUGAACUUCAUGAAUUACUGUCAGCAAGGCAUUUUCACUCAAAGAAAUGCAGCUCACAAAAUAUCUUUUCUUUUUAAGACCAUUCUUUGGAAACCACAUAGAUGGUUGUGUGGGGGAAAUCCCAGCAGAUCAGCAAAUAUGAAAUACUAACCUGUCUGGCACCAGCAACCACACCACAUUCAAGGUCACUUAAAUCGCCUUUUUUCCACAUUCUGAUGCUCAGUUUGAUCUUCAGCAGGUCACUUUUCCCACGUAUACAUGCCUAUAUGCACUGAUUU